ACGUAGGGUGCAAGCGUUAUCCGGAUUUACUGGGCGUAAAGCGCGCGUAGGCGGCUUGUUAAGUGUGAAGUGAAAUCUCCAGGGCUCAACCCGGAAACUGCUUCGCAUACUGGCAAGCUUGAGGAAGGCAGAGGUUAGUAGAAUUCCUGGUGUAGCGGUGAAAUGCAUAGAUAUCAGGAGGAAUACCAACGGCGAAGGCAGCUAACUGGGCCUUAUCUGACGCUGAGGCGCGAAAGCGUGGGUAGCAAACAGGAUUAGAUACCCUGGUAGUCCACGCCCUAAACGAUGGAUACUAGAUGUAAGAGGUAUCAACCCCUCUUGUGUCGCAGCUAACGCAUUAAGUAUCCCGCCUGGGGAGUACGGCCGCAAGGUUG
This 374-nucleotide ribosomal RNA is filed under the name uncultured bacterium. Its description in RNAcentral is "bacterial SSU rRNA". It matches the Rfam family "Bacterial small subunit ribosomal RNA", at positions 525 to 896 of the family's 1533-position model. The record is from RNAcentral.